GAGUUUUAUAUUUAAUUUUAUUUUAUAUUAUUAUAAAAAUUUAUAUUAAAAUGAAAUGAAGUAUUAUAUUGGGGUGAUAGAAAAAUAAAAUAAACUUUUUUUAAAAAUUUAACAUAAAUAAAUGAUUUUUUGAUCCAUUAUUAAUGAUUAUAAGAAAAAAUUACCUUAGGGAUAACAGCGUAAUUUUUUUUUUUAGAACAAAUAAAAAAAAGAGAUUGC
RNAcentral lists this ribosomal RNA (219 nucleotides) under Satyrinae gen. 1 sp. 2 JM-2020. Its description in RNAcentral is "partial large subunit ribosomal RNA". The record is from RNAcentral. RNAcentral also lists the same sequence under 2 other names. Lineage: Eukaryota; Metazoa; Arthropoda; Insecta; Lepidoptera; Nymphalidae.